Small nucleolar RNA from Phragmites australis (common reed), 126 nucleotides. RefSeq annotates it as small nucleolar RNA Z119. The transcript has a single exon. The record is from RefSeq and is a predicted model, not a curated record. Lineage: Eukaryota; Viridiplantae; Streptophyta; Magnoliopsida; Poales; Poaceae.
UUUUUGAGAUGACGAUUCUUAUCAGAGGCUGUUUAUGAGGUUGAGGUGAGCCAAGAGCUCUACCAGUGCUGCCAAAAAAAAAAAAAAAAGAACAAAGAAAGAAAGAUUUGCCGUUCUGAUCAAAAG